AAUAGCCGGGGAUGUGCGUUAAUCCGUUAUAAAUUCAACCGACAUAUUAGAUACGGGAGCCGGAGUUUUAUAUUGGGAUGAUAAGCCUUGUUUAAGGACUUCUGAACAUAUGGACCUCGCACCCACCUGAGGUUUCUCGGGUAUGAAUUUUGGCAGAUGACGGCAUUCCGGGCGACUU
This 178-nucleotide non-coding RNA is filed under the name Peptostreptococcaceae bacterium. Its description in RNAcentral is "6S RNA". It matches the Rfam family "6S / SsrS RNA". From Rfam's summary of the family: E. coli 6S RNA was the first non coding RNA to be sequenced, but its function was unknown until recently. The record is from RNAcentral. Lineage: Bacteria; Bacillati; Bacillota; Clostridia; Peptostreptococcales; Peptostreptococcaceae.